ACCCGGCGGCGCGGCGUGGGUCGGGAGCGGGCGCCUGGGACUACUUCUCGUUUGAAAGUUUUCAGAGGCCAAAAGUUUGAGCCGGGGCUGCGGAAGGAUCCGGCUCUGGCGGUUGCCGCGCUCGGCGACAACUGGCGACUGAAAUUUGCAUAGAAGAGAGUGGCCCAUUCGGUGUCCACCCGUCAGGCCACCCAGCAGCCAGGCACGCUCAUAAGCCCGCGUUACGGAUGGUGCGGCCGGGUGCACAGGCCCGAGGGAAGCACAGGCCUCGGCCUCCCAGCUCCCAACCCCUGCACCACCCACAGCCGGGAGUACCCCAUGGACAGCUGUGGCCGAGGAGAAGCCAGGGAUGAGGGGGAUGGGCCUCACCUCCCCACCAGCCUGGGAAGGGGGUAGGCCCCUGGCAAGUAGGUGAGAAGCUUUUUCAUUCACAAGUUGUCCGGGCUCCCCAUUCCUCUUUGUCAGGCCAGCGGGUGUGGGCAGUCGGGGGAGGCUGGGGUCCUGACACAACAGGAGUACAUCUGCUGGCCUAGGGCCUGGAGACCUUCUCCUACAGGUCGGGAGGCAGCCCUGGGCAGCGGGCAUUGCGGGGACUAAAGAGAAACAAGAGCAGGUUGUGUGCAGGGCACCCCAGCCACUCCAGAAACCCAAUGGGAGGGUGGGGGCUAGGACCCCAAGAAGCUGAAUUGGGGUGCAGUGCCGCCAGGCCUCCCCUGUAGGAGUCACUUUGGGCUUCCUGUCCCAACUUGUGGUGGGAGCUGGGGCAAGGUUCCAGGGGUACCCCGAAUGAAUGGGGCUGUUCCCAAGCUGGCCAGGGAGCCUGGAAGCAGAUGAGAUGGGGCCGCAGAGCCUGGUUUGCGGAGGGGAGAGGCAGACGUGUCCUGCAGCCCUCUCUUCUUCAGAGGCCCCCUGCGGGUGCUGAGGGGAGAGUGGCUUAGGCGUUGCACCCCAGGAGACUGAACUGGGUCAGUUCCCCCUUGUUUGCUGCCAGAGAAAUGGGGGUACCAUUGUCAGGGUGAGCUAAGGAGGCCCUGCUGACAUUGGCCCAACCAGGCCCCUCCUUUGCGGCUGCUGUGGGGACUUUCGAGAGCAGAGCACACCCCUAAGUGCGUGGAGAGGAGGGAAGCUGAGGCUCAGAGACAUCAUGAGGAUGCCAGCUCAAGGCCCAGCCAGGCCUUGGUCCUCAGCUGCUGUCAUCCAGUAGGGUAAGUGGGACCCCCAGGAGGUGUUGGGGGACACUCCUCCCCUCCCCCACACUCACAGUCUGUUCACCGCCCAAGGCAGCAGGCUGGACUCGGUGCAGGGACCAUGGCUUGGCGUGGCCAGGUUGGAGUGGCCCCUGGGACUGAAAGCAGGGGGCGUGGGGGCUCUGAGGCGGGGCCGAGUGCGGGGACGUCCUGUGGCGGGUACCCUGCUGGGUCCUGGGUGGGGGCCACCACCAGGCAGCUGUGGGAACAUUCCAGACCACCUAGGAGUAGGGCCCCUUCACCGUUUGAAGCUGACUGUAAAAAACAUCUGACCUGUGUGCAAAGCUCAAGCCCAGAGGCCUCCAGGGUGUCCAGCCUCCAGGGUGCCUCCUACGCAGCCUCCACGUCCCCAUCCACUGCAGCCCCUGACCAUCGGGCACACCGUGGGGCCUUCGCUGGCCGCCGGGCCUCAGGUUCUGCUGCACCAAGUGAUUUUUAAAGCCCCAUCUGCCUUUCUCCACUUAUAAAGAACUUGGGACAUUUCCUCGAGGUUGGGCAUUUUUCCAGAUGUGGUUUCAGUGUCUCGCUUGCUACCUGGUCCCCUGUGCUGGGCGGUCCGCUGUGACGCACCUGGCAGUCCUUGCUCUAGGAUGGAUUCGGGCCGGCCCUUGUUCUGAGAACAGAGAACGGCCCUUGUUCUGAGGAGGCUGGGGUCUGGAAUCUGCUUCCUGGUCCCCUGCUGUGUGCAGACAGCCACCGUCACCCAGGCCCAGGGGUGCCUGCAGGUGCUGGGCAUCUCACCCUGGCCCCCACAGGGGCUCCCCAUGCCCUGCACCCCUCGGUCUGUGCCGGGGACUUCCCUGCUCUGCUGUUGCAGGCCUCGUCCUUUGCCGAGGGGGUCUCUUUCCCACGUGUCCCUGAGACUCCUCAGCCAUCCCAGAGGCUCUCGGCCGUCUGAGCACCCCUGACCAUGAAGCCUUCCUGGCCCACUCUCUGUGUGUGAGGCAGAGCCCAUCCCUACCAUUCCGACCCACACCAGAGGCUCCGGAAGGUUUGCUGACUGACCUGUGACUGCAAGAAGCUGAAGGAAUGUGGGCGCAGACCCGGCAGGGGCUUUUCUUGGUGCAAAGUCAACUGGCUGUCCAUGCAAGCCUGCUGCUGUGGCCAGCCCUCCCGCCAGGCGCCUGGUACCCUCCCUGGACCCAGUUGCCAGGACAGUGAUCCCCAGCUGUGGCCAGGACUCUGCCCGGGGCCCUGUCUACUCAGUGUCUCCAGUGGUCCCCAUGCAGAAACUGCCCCCCUUGCUGCCCAUGAGGCAUGGGAUAGGGUCAGCAUCCGAGAGGCAGGCCCUGCUGUUCCCCUCUGCACAGAGGCUGGGGGAGUGAGUUGCCCGGGCAAGUCCCCGGGCAGGCACUGGGCCUCCUGAGCAGGUGAGCUGAGAAGGCCCCAGCUGGUGUAGGCCUCGAGAGCUGCAGGACUGGCCAUGGGGCAGACCUGGCAUUGUCAUUCUAGAGCUGGGCCUGGGGGGUGGCUGGUGCAGUGCAGAUCUCAGGUGGAGGCCACCUGCCCGUCCUUUCCACGUGGCUCAGGGCUCAGACCCACCUGCCUGUCCCUGGAAGCCCCUAGACUGCUCAGAGCACAGACCUCAGUGGGAAAGACAGUAGAUAGGCCUGGGUAUGGUCUCCCAGCCCUGAGAAGUGGGGAGCCCACUCAGACCUUUCCAGGACCCCAGGUCCCCUCAGCAGCCCACAGAGCGUGGGUGGAGCCUGGGCUGGGGUUGGGUCACUUGGGAGCCAAAGGCCCAUUUCUGCUGCUUCCAGGGAGUCCCAGGGAGACGGCAGAGGCAGUGCCUGGCUGGGGCCCUGGUUGGCGUGCCGUUUGAGGGGUGCAUGCACUGGGAAGUUGGCCAGGCCUGCCCAAAUCAGGGGGCUUCCAGGAGGAGAGACAUCAGGAGGAUGGGCACAGAGGCGGCUUAGCACCAGGGCUGGCACCUCCAGAGGGACAAUGUUGGUGUCCCAAAGCACAGUCCUUUGCCCCGGAGGAGCCACCGGCAGAGCCAGGAGCCCCUGAAGGACUUUGACCACACCCCCCACCCCACCCCGACCUGUGCCUGGUGCCCCAAGUGGAGCCUGGGCCAUCCUUGACCUCACCGCUGGGGUGAUGGAGAAGCAGCCGCCCGAGGCGAGAGUUUCUCAGGUGGCCGGGGUUUCCCCCCAUUUGCUCCAGACACAUUUAAACAAGCUGAGAACUUCCGUCCCCCCAUACUCCCCCCCGCGGACCCCCACGGACCCCCUCUGCAAAUGAACAUGGGCCUGGAAAUCGGGGUGUGGGUUACAGAGAGCACGGGGAAUUCUGCUCGUGAAGUAACACGGAGCACGAACAUAAGCAGGUACCGCACAUCUGCGAGCUAUUCGGGUCUCCGGGGGAAGGCAAAAAGCCCCAACAAGCCUUAAGUAAGACCAGGACGCUUCUAUAGUUUUGCUUUGACAGCUAAGGAAAAAAUCUGCCAAAAACCAGAGGCGCUGCUGAGUGUUGGCGUGGGAAUGCUAGUUUAGUCAGAGCCUUGCUCUGGGCCAUUUAAAUAAAAACAGACAUGUUGGUGGCAAAUGCCAGUUGAACACGCAGGAGAGCGGUGCUUCUCGGGCCCGGAGAAGGGUUUGCAGCUGCACUCUCUCUUCCCUUUUCUCUUGGCCUCCCCAGCCUUCUUAUCAUCACGAUCAGCAUUUCACUGGUAAACAUUUGGUGCAAUAAUUUUCAAAAAUCAGCAAGAAAAGUCUGAGCGUUUCAUGUGGCUGUGACUGCGUGGCCCCAGCUGGAAGCAUGGAUUCCCAGCGCCUCCCAGAGCCUGUCUCCGAGGGAUACUCUAAUCACUUGAGGGCCUUUGCACGACAUAAAUCAGACCGACUAUCUCUAGAGUGGAGAGGGGGAUAAACUCACUUGUAGCAAGUGAAGGCCAGAGGCUGCCCUGGGAUGGCAUUGCCUGUUCCCAGGGGCUUGUGGUGGUGCAGCAGACAUGGGGACCCCUGGGCCCCUUCCCCUCCUUGCUGGGGAUGCCACACAGACCCACGUUCAGGGACCUGAAUUCAGAGCCUGCCCCAGGGGUGGCGAAUGUAUCUGGGACACUGAGGACCCCCCUACCGGGUGCAUCUCAUGGCCUUUUGGUCUUUUUUUUUGAGACGGAGUCUCACUUUGUUGCCCAGGCUGGAGUGUCAUGGGGCGAUCUCCGCUCACUACCACCUCCGCCUCCCGGGUUCAAGCAAUUCUCCUGUCUCAGCCUCCGAGUAGCUGGGAUUACAGGUAUGUGCCACCACGCCAGCUAAUUUUUCUAUUUUUAAUAGAGAUAGGGUUUCACCAUGUUGGUCAGGCUGGUCUUGAACUCCUAACCUCGGGUGAUCUGCCUGCCUUGGCCUCCCGAAGUGUUGGGAUUACAGGCGUGAGCCACUGCACCUGGCCAGCCUUUUGGUCUUGAAGGGUCUCUGGGAGGGCCUCAGAGAAUGUCUUGGUUUCCUCACUCUUGGGUUCCCAUCGACUGAGGUCAGGGCUGGGAAGGGGUGAUGAGCCCAGGACUCUUCUGGCGAGAGCGAGGGUCUAUGUUGGGGGGCUCCCUUCUGCCACCUCUCCUUGGUGACAUGGGGCUGGCUGGAGAGUCCCUCCGUGCCUGGGAGUUCCUCAGUGUAGGGGGGGAAGGGGGCCACUGCAAUGAAUCUGACACCAGCCCCCUCUCUCUCCGCCCUGCUGGCAGCCCUCACUCAUAUGGGGGGCGGGUCUGUCCUCCUUUCCCCAAAGCUGGGGGUCCUGAGUGUGGUUGGGGUAACGUCUGGUCCUCCUUAGAACAGUGGGGCUUGGAAUUCAUUCAAGGGAAGAAGAGUGAAGGAACGCAGAUGCCGACUGCAUGGAGCCCCCCCGGGCUGCAGCCCCUAGAGCCUGGGCGCUCUGUGAGCCAGAAAGAGAACGGCUGGGGAGAGGGCUGUGUGAGGCCCUGUUCUUCCAAGACCGCUGCGGAGGACCGACGGGGCCCAGGGACCCUGACUGAGGUGUGCCGAGCACAGCAGCUCUGGACAGGCCGCACCGGCCUCUCUGUCUGUCAUCUGUCCACCUGUUGGUGGGCAGGAACAGACCUGAUGCUGUAAGAAGAGGCCCCCAGGACCCUGCCUCUCCCAUUGGCUGAGCCUGGACUGUGGAGCCAGCCGCCCUCACACUGGGCACAGAUGACCGACUUAGGUUUUGAGAAGAUCCAAACAGCAGCAGGACGUGCACCUGGUAGGGGUAGGAGGGCCUCCCCUGGACUCAAAAGUGUAUUCGCGGAGCCCCUUCCCUGCAGCGUAGGCUCUGGGGGGACAGUGGCCAGGACGGAGGCCCUCGUGGAAAGGGGGAGAUGUGAACAGUGAGCCUCCUGCAUGCAGGCAUCUGGGAAAGAACAUUCCAGCCAAGUGGCUCUGAGCACACCCCGACCCUGGCCACCCUGGCCCUGUGGACCAACCCUGGGGCCCAGGAUUAAUGACAGCCAGUGCUCGCUGGUGCCUCCAGCCUGGGCCAGGCCUGUGGGCUGGUCCCUUCAAUGAUGGGGCAAGCUCAGCCCCGUCCACACCCUUCUCCUCCUCCUCUGUGCUUCCCUCCACCCCCAGGAGUGGGCUCCAGGUCUGUCACUCGUCACUCAUGGGGGGCUGUGGGUUGACUCGUAUUCCCCCAAAAGACUCGCUGUAUACCCCCAGAGCUUGUGAGCAGGACCUGUUUUGGAGAUGGGUCUUUGCAGAUGUCGUCGAGUUAAGACAAGGCCAUGCUGGAGUGGGGCCUGCCCUAAUCCAACGACUGGGGCCCUUGGCAGGAGAGGGAGGUUUGGGGAGAAGGCGCUGGGAAGACAGGCAGAGGCUGGAGACAGUGCAGCCCCAAGCUGGGAGCACAGGGGUUGCCGGCACCCAACAGAAGCUGGAGGAGGUGGGAAGGAUCCUCCCUAGAGCCUUGGGAGGGGGCCCGGUCCUGUGACACCCAGAUUUUGGAUUUCUGGCCUUCGGAACUGAGAGAGCACACAUUUCUGCGGUUUGAAGCCACCAAAUUUUUGGUAAUUUGUUCUGGCCAGGAAAUUAAUACCAGGGAUAAAGGUGUUUUAAUGCAGACAAAGACAGUUUUUGAAUUAACCAAGCUUUGCGCAAGGCUGCCGGGAUUGACUGGGGGAAGUGAGGGACUCAGCAGCUUCCCCGACGCUCGCCAGGCACCGGCCUCCAUACACGCUUGCUGGCGGUGGCUACGGCAGGUCGCUCUUCAGGUGAAACCACAUAAUGAGCAGCCUUAAGCCUGUCGAUUUACACAGCAGAGGCUGCCUGGCCUGGCGCUCUUCCUGGCUGGAGGACUCUGCCUUCCCCCUCUGCCUGCCUGUGGCCACUCCGGCUGCAGAGGAGACUGGCAGACGACGUUCUCAUCCCUGGUCGGGGCAAAAGUUCUGCUCAAAUAUGACAACGGUGAAACUCGGAAUAGCGACAGAGCCAACCCAUGAUUGAGGCAGGGCUGGAGGCUUUCUGGAAAACGCACGGAGAAACACGAGGGCCCAGCUGUGCCCUGGGCCGCCCCAUGAGUCCAGCCUUCUUCGUCCUAGUCCCUUCUCCAAAGAAAGGACAAAACCACUGAAAGGGUUCGUCUGGGUCACAAACGUCCCAAAUUGGCUUCCGCGUGGAAACUAAACAAGGGUAGGUCCCAGCCCCUGGGAUUCAGGUGAAACCCGAGGCCUGUCUGAGGUCACAGCGUCUUCCCGAGGACGUCAGCCCUGUUGGCUGUGUCUGGGGCCAGGCUGAGGCAUAGCGGGCCAGGAGGCCGAGCUUCCCAAAGGAGCUGCACUGUCUUUUCCUUAGAAUAUGAAAUCAAUGUCUGCCACCUUGAAUCCUCAUGGACAAGACUCCUUGGAAGCCAGCCUGUGUCAGGGCCAGCGUCCCCCAGGGCUGACACCUACACCCUCGCAUUCUCAGCGUGACUCGGGACAGUGGCAGAACCCGCUGGGUUCUCUCUACGGGAGUGCUUUUUUUUUUUCUUUUCUUUUUUUUUUUUUUUUUUUUUUUUGAGUCGGAGUUUCACUCUUGUUGCCCAGGCUGGAGUACAAUGGUGUGAUCUCGGCUCACUGCAACCUCCACCUCCUGGGUUCAAGCAGUUCUCCUGUCUCAGCCUCCCGAGUAGCUGGGAUUACAGGUGCACACCACCAUGCCUGGCUAAUUUUUGUAUUUUUAGUAGAGAUGAGGUUUCACGGUGUUGGCCAAGCUGGUCUCGAACUCCUGACCUCAAGUGAUCCACCUGCCUUGGCCUCCCGAAGUGCUGGGAUUUCUGGCGUGAGCCACCGCACCCAGCUCGGAGUGCGUUAUGACUAGAGGCAAAGACAGCAGCAUGAUCUUCAGCUUGCAAAUGAGACACAGAAUGACAAUGAAUCUUCACCGAAGUUAACUUGAACCUGGAUGGAUGAGUGGCCGGGUCGCCAAAAAGCUCCUCGGACCCUGCCAGAGUGUGAGCUCUGCCAGGAGGGCCGGGGCUCCAGGAUCCCAGGCUGGGCAGUCACUGGCUCCCCCAGGAAGGGCCACAUUCCGGUGGGCAGACAGAGGGUUGGGGAGGGUGGUGGGCAGCCAGCCGCCUGGAUCCCGGCCGGGGCACCGUCCCGCAGAGCUUGUCCCGCACAGACUCAGUUUCCUAACCCAGCAAGUGGGAGUCCACUGUGAGAAGUCCAGCCCUACGCAGAUGCGUGCGAAUCCCCUAAGAGCCAUGCCUGAGCCCUUGGCGGAAGCAGUUGGCUCCUCGUGUCAUGCAAAGGGCGGCAUUUUCAUUCCUAACAGGGAGGUGGCCCCGGAGCAUCCAGUUCAAAGGAGCUAGGAUGAUCCAGGGUCCUCUCACGUGGGCCUUGGUGAGUGGCCACACCCUCUGAGACCCCCUUUCAUCCCCAUAGAAAGGUCCUAGCAGGGCUGUGCCAGGGGGAUCCGCGGGUGGCAGGGUGGCCCCAUCUGCAGUGGGCCCAGGAGGAUAGCAACAGGACUUAGCAGUGGUGGGAUUGUAUUUCUGGGCCCUUCUUCCCCCACAGCCCACAGCCUCCUGACGGGACCCCUCCCCCCAGAACCUGAAGGACGGACCUCAGGUGUGGAGCUCCCUCACCAGACAGAGGGGAGGAGCCCAGGUCCAUCUCCUCAAAGGGACCCACCAGCCCCUCACGCGGCUGCACACAAGGCAGUCCCAGCCAGGCCCCAGGUUGAGGCAGACUCAGCCUAUGUCCUCAAGAGGCUCCCUGGAGAAGGCAGGACCCAGAAGCUUCUCUCUCGGCUGACAUGGCCUUUGCGGGCAGCCUUCCCACCCACAUCCCCAGCAUGAGCCCCAGCUCCUUGGAGCCCAGAGUCCAAGAAAUGGCCUUUCUGCCACUGACCCCUCCCGUGGAAUGGCUCCUCCCGAGCAGGGAACCUCUGCUGGGACCCGUCAGCUGCAAGAAGGCCCGUCCCCGAGAGAGCCCUGCAGGGCAAGGGGAGAGGGACCCCGGGGUAGGGGUGGAGAGCAGCUGAGGGGACAGACACAGAGAAGACCAGGCAGGGGCAUAGCCUGCUGAUGGGGGAUGCCAUCCUCUCGGUCACAGCUGAGCCAGGGCAGCCUCUAAGCUUCCUAAGUGGGGAAACCAAGGCAGAGAACCCCAGGACUGGGGCCACCGCUGUGGUCAGCCGGUUGGGGGUGGCCUGGGCCUCUCCAGUCUCCACUCUUCCAUCCAGCUUCAUGGGGAGCAACAUUUUUUUCACCUCAAGGCCAAAUUAGGAAGAACAAACAUGUUUUAUUUAUCAGUGUCACUUUUUUUUUUUUUUGUUUUAGAGACAGGGGUCUCACUAUGUUGCCCAGGUUGGACUUGAAUUCCUGGGCUCAAACAAUCCUCCUGCCUCAGCCUCCCAAGUUACUAGGACUACAGGUGCACCACUUAGUUACAUUUUUUUUAUACACGUGAAAACAGCUUUUUUGCUGGGCGCAGUGGCUCACGCCUGUAAUCCUAGCCCUUGGGGAGGCCGAGGCAGGUGGAUCACCUGAGGUCAGGAGUUCGAGACCAGCCUGGCCAACAUGGUGAAACCCCGUCUCUACUAAAAAUACAAAAAUUAGCUGGGUGUGAUGAUGGGAGCCUGUAGUCCCAUCUACUCAGGAGGCUGAGGCAGGAGAGUGGCAUGAACCAGGGAGGCGGAGGUGGCAGUGAGCCGAGAUCGCGCCAUUGCACUCCAGCCUGGGUGACAGAGUGAAACUCCAUCUCAAAAAAAAAAAAAAAAAAGAAAAGAAAAAGAAAGUAGUUUUUUUUCCCCCUAUGCUAAAAAUUCAAACAAAGCAAACAAGCAAAUUUUUAGAGAAGAAAAUUCCAUUGGCCACAAUCUGUAGCAGGGAGAGCUGUUUUUUUUGUUUUGUUUUUGUUUUUUUUUUGAGGCAGAGUCUUGCUCUGUCACCCAGACUGGAAUGCAGUGGUGCAAU
RNAcentral lists this long non-coding RNA (9638 nucleotides) under Homo sapiens (human). Its description in RNAcentral is "non-protein coding NALT1:16". Lineage: Eukaryota; Metazoa; Chordata; Mammalia; Primates; Hominidae. The record is from RNAcentral.